This 72-nucleotide transfer RNA is filed under the name Chloroflexota bacterium. Its description in RNAcentral is "Chloroflexi bacterium tRNA-Lys". It matches the Rfam family "tRNA". From Rfam's summary of the family: Transfer RNA (tRNA) molecules are approximately 80 nucleotides in length. Their secondary structure includes four short double-helical elements and three loops (D, anti-codon, and T loops). Further hydrogen bonds mediate the characteristic L-shaped molecular structure. tRNAs have two regions of fundamental functional importance: the anti-codon, which is responsible for specific mRNA codon recognition, and the 3' end, to which the tRNAs corresponding amino acid is attached (by aminoacyl-tRNA synthetases). tRNAs cope with the degeneracy of the genetic code in two manners: having more than one tRNA (with a specific anti-codon) for a particular amino acid; and 'wobble' base-pairing, i.e. permitting non-standard base-pairing at the 3rd anti-codon position. Lineage: Bacteria; Bacillati; Chloroflexota. The record is from RNAcentral. RNAcentral also lists the same sequence under 2 other names.
GACCGUGUAGCUCAGUGGUAGAGCACGCGCCUUUUAAGCGUGUGGUCGUGGGUUCGAAUCCCACCGCGGUCA